GACGAACGCUGGCGGCGUGCCUAAUACAUGCAAGUCGAACGAGAGCGACCGGUGCUUGCACUGGUCAAUCUAGUGGCGAACGGGUGAGUAACACGUGGGUAACUUGCCCAUCAGAGGGGGAUAACAUUCGGAAACGGAUGCUAAAACCGCAUAGGUCCUUUAACCGCAUGGUUGAAGGAGGAAAAGAGGCGCAAGCUUCUGCUGAUGGAUGGACCCGCGGUGCAUUAGCUAGUUGGUGAGGUAACGGCUCACCAAGGCCGUGAUGCAUAGCCGACCUGAGAGGGUGAUCGGCCACAUUGGGACUGAGACACGGCCCAAACUCCUACGGGAGGCAGCAGUAGGGAAUCUUCCGCAAUGGACGCAAGUCUGACGGAGCAACGCCGCGUGAGUGAAGAAGGUUUUCGGAUCGUAAAACUCUGUUGUUAGAGAAGAACAAGUGCUAGAGUAACUGUUAGCGCCUUGACGGUAUCUAACCAGAAAGCCACGGCUAACUACGUGCCAGCAGCCGCGGUAAUACGUAGGUGGCAAGCGUUGUCCGGAUUUAUUGGGCGUAAAGCGAGCGCAGGCGGUUCCUUAAGUCUGAUGUGAAAGCCCCCGGCUCAACCGGGGAGGGUCAUUGGAAACUGGGGAACUUGAGUGCAGAAGAGGAGAGUGGAAUUCCAUGUGUAGCGGUGAAAUGCGUAGAUAUAUGGAGGAACACCAGUGGCGAAGGCGACUCUCUGGUCUGUAACUGACGCUGAGGCUCGAAAGCGUGGGUAGCAAACAGG
Molecule: ribosomal RNA, 767 nt
Filed under: uncultured Granulicatella sp.
Lineage: Bacteria; Bacillati; Bacillota; Bacilli; Lactobacillales; Carnobacteriaceae
Description: bacterial SSU rRNA
Rfam family: Bacterial small subunit ribosomal RNA
Source: RNAcentral